GCGGGUGUAGCUCAGCUGGUAGAGCCUCUGCCUUCCAAGCAGUUGGUCGUGGGUUCGAGUCCCAUCAUCCGCUCCA
RNAcentral lists this transfer RNA (76 nucleotides) under Gammaproteobacteria bacterium HGW-Gammaproteobacteria-1. Its description in RNAcentral is "tRNA-Gly". It matches the Rfam family "tRNA". Rfam says of the family: Transfer RNA (tRNA) molecules are approximately 80 nucleotides in length. Their secondary structure includes four short double-helical elements and three loops (D, anti-codon, and T loops). Further hydrogen bonds mediate the characteristic L-shaped molecular structure. tRNAs have two regions of fundamental functional importance: the anti-codon, which is responsible for specific mRNA codon recognition, and the 3' end, to which the tRNAs corresponding amino acid is attached (by aminoacyl-tRNA synthetases). tRNAs cope with the degeneracy of the genetic code in two manners: having more than one tRNA (with a specific anti-codon) for a particular amino acid; and 'wobble' base-pairing, i.e. permitting non-standard base-pairing at the 3rd anti-codon position. The record is from RNAcentral. Lineage: Bacteria; Pseudomonadati; Pseudomonadota; Gammaproteobacteria.